Rattus norvegicus (Norway rat) is the source of this 449-nucleotide non-coding RNA. Lineage: Eukaryota; Metazoa; Chordata; Mammalia; Rodentia; Muridae. The record is from the annotation of a RefSeq genome assembly.
CCCAGUGCAGAGAUCAGUCCAUGUCAGGACACAAUUUAGAUAUGAGGGUCCAGAUUCAGUUUUGGGGGCUUCUUCUGCUCUGGACAUCAGGUAUACAGUGUGAUGUCCAGAUGACCCAGUCUCCAUAUAAUCUUGCUGCCUCUCCUGGAGAAAGUGUUUCCAUCAAUUGCAAGGCAAGUAAGAGCAUUAGCAAGUAUUUAGCCUGGUAUCAACAGAAACCUGGGAAAGCAAAUAAGCUUCUUAUCUACGAUGGGUCAACUUUGCAAUCUGGAAUUCCAUCGAGGUUCAGUGGCAGUGGAUCUGGUACAGAUUUCACUCUCACCAUCAGAAGCCUGGAGCCUGAAGAUUUUGGACUCUAUUACUGUCAACAGCAUAAUGAAUACCCACCCACAGUGAUACAAGCCAUAACAAAAACCCCCAUGGGAAGCAGAAACCAGAUGUUGGGCUGA